CUGAGAUGACUUUUCUAUGUACAAACAGCUCAGUGAUCUUUGGACUAAAUGUGUGUGGUGUGACAGGAAGGAUUUGAAUAAGAAAGUCUUUUUGGUACUUGAAUACUAAUAUAUGUUUUACAAUUAAAUUUCAUUUUAUACACACUGUGUUGAUUAUGGUACGGAACGUAGUUUUUACCGAUCAAAGCAACAAGAUGAGAACAAAAGAGUUGCACACCUGUUUGUUGUUUUUGUCCUUUUCACAAAUGACCACACAGGGGCACUGUGCUUCACACUGAGGGGAGAAAAGUGCAGGCUUCUCACAUUGCUGAAGAGAAUGCAUUUCAUUCCUCCGUAUGUUUUCAGUGAAGUUCACACACAAUGGAAAAGUUGCUACGGCACAUGUGGGACCCAUUCAAAAAGGCCAGUAGGGUGGUAAUAAAGCUCAGAUGAUUUUUACUACAUUCUCAAGGUGAUACUAAGGUGAUACUGAUGCUCACAAUGUGGAGACUAUGAGGAUGGAGAGCUGCUAGCCUAGUGGAACUACUGUCACAGCU
Long non-coding RNA from Ictalurus punctatus (channel catfish), 536 nucleotides. NCBI's taxonomy places the organism in Eukaryota, Metazoa, Chordata, Actinopteri, Siluriformes, Ictaluridae. The record is from Ensembl.